This is a long non-coding RNA of Acanthochromis polyacanthus (spiny chromis), 1138 nucleotides long. RefSeq lists it as uncharacterized. NCBI's taxonomy places the organism in Eukaryota, Metazoa, Chordata, Actinopteri, Pomacentridae. The record is from RefSeq and is a predicted model, not a curated record. The transcript has 2 exons.
AGAGAAGUCUCUCAGAAAGAAGCCUCUGUUAGGCAACUGUAGAAUGUUUUACCUCAUUAAUAUAGACUUUGCUGGACUCCUACACUUUAAAGAGUGUGCAGUAUAUUGCGACUCAACAUUGCAGUGACCCUACAGAUGUAAAAGAAGUACUGUAGGAUCCACCAGCCAUGAUCAACAGUGAAACAGAACCAGGACAGGGUUUUGUUUAUUCCCCCACCUAAAACUCUGGAGUCCUAGCUCCUCUGCAGCCACAGGAUGGAGAUGGGCUCCCCUUUUGAUCAGCGAAGCAAGAGGGACACCAAGACACCACGCCAGAUGUGGGAGAUGUCUGGCAUGGAUGUGCGAAGCACCAAGUCAGCAGGAAGUGAGGCCGAGAGCUGACUCUAAAGGAUUCCCCCCACUACAGACCUCCAGGAUAUGUAUUGGACCUGUCGUAGCAAGAGACUGGCUCAAAACCCCCAAGUACCACCAAGCCUCCAAGGAACCAAAUUGAUGGCCAUAAAAAUUCUGACUGAUUCCUGAACCACAGAAGAGAAGAAGCUCAGAAACCUGGAGGAACACUUCAAAGACAUUCCAUUCAGAAACAAAGGAACUCUGGACUCACCUCAAAGCUAACAAAGACAAUCAUCCCCCAAUUCUGGACAAAACUCCUUUUAUGUACAUCCAUUUCACCAAACAAGUGAACUUUUCAAUGACUUUGUGAUUAAUCUACCUCUUGCCUUACUUUUAAUAUUUUAUUCCUCCUGAUUACUAUCAAUGUCAUAAUUUUAACCUGUCUGCUGAUCACAUAUGAGCAUGUUUGGUACCAUUUUAAUCAGCUAUCUGUCAGUAAUGCUCCUAGAUAAACCAUAUUCACCAAAUUUCAAUAUUUUGGAAAGUUACAGAAAUUUCCUGAAAAUGUAACUCACUUCCUGUUGGGUUUGGAAUAUGGCUGUCACUGACUUUUUUGUUCAGCCUGAUGUGCUGCAUAUGUGUACCAAAUUUGGUAGAUACACCCCCUGUCAAAAGUUGUAGGACAGGUUCUACUUUAGAGAAAGUGUUCUAAAACUUUUAACGGGGUGUACAUACAGAGCUCUGACUGAAUGCUAGCAAUAUUUAACUGUUCUUUUCUGCUAAUAAAGUCUAUUAACCCUUACAA